CUAUAUUGACAUGUAAAGUUCUCGAAGUUAAAAACUGAUCGGAUUAUGCAGUUACUUACACUUUUCUUUUCCUUUCUCGGAUAAGAGAGAUCAAAGGACUUUACCUGUACCAGAGUUCCAGUUUGGUACUAGUUUGUGACAUAAACAUUUUGUCAUGCUAACUGGUGAGACUUCUAAAUUUUUUGACGCUUCUUACUUAAUCUAAAGUAUCAUGAUGAUAUACGUGCUUGAUGCUCGUAUAGAAAAGCUAUAAUCUUUGAUAUGUGCGUAUUAUCCUCAAACAUCUGUCAUAUACUCAGUUUUCUAACUUUUGGAUUGCCUUCGUGGUGAUAAAGUUUCACAGGAACCAUCUCUCCAGCAAUCUGUUUUUCUUGUACAUUUUUCGUAAUUUUCUCUCUCUUUCUUUACCUGUGGGAAGUUUUAGUUAUAAUGGACAAAACCGCUUUGGUUUUUAGAGUCUCCAAAAUUAUGUGGAUGUCUUAUUUUGAUCUUUUCUUCUGCUUCUUGGGAAGCUUGUUGAGGAGGAGGAAGGGAACUUUGCACUGUGGACUUCUUACAUUCUAACAGGUGUUGGAGCAAACCUGGUGUCAUGGUUAGUUCUCCCAAGAAAUACAGUUUCUCUUGGAGCGUCUGGUGCUGUGGUCGGUCUAUUUGAUAUUAGUGUUCUUGUCAAGAUGUGUUGGCACUGGAGAAAGAUCCUUGAAGUUCUUAUACUAGGCCAGUUUGUUAUCGAGAAGUCACGUGAUGAGAGCAGCACAAGAUUCAACAGAAUGUCAGGUGCAAGUUCCGCUAUGCAAAGUGUCAAUCACAUUGCUCAUCUAUCUGGCUCUUUGGUCGGUCCAGGUCUAGUUUGGCUUCUAAGUAGAGUUCCAUCUGAACCUUCCGACCGAGGCAUACCGAAGUUCAGUGAUAAUACAAAUCAAAAAACUUAAGUGCUUGUGGUGUAGCGAACCAACUUAUUAGCCUAUGAACGACAAAUGCAAAUGAGCAAGAUGGGAAGUGGCAAAGUGCUCGGGCGACACCAUCAAUGAAUCAACAAUGAUGCAUCACCAUCGUCAUGCUCUGUAAGCCAUGUGAAUUGGUUUGAUGGAGAAACUAGUCGAGGUGGCUACUGCUUGUACCUGCUAUAGCGAUUACUGAUUGAGGUGAAUACCUAGUCUUUAACCAGUAGUCUGUUACUUGUGUUAUGUGUAUAACUUCUGAUGAUGCUAAACUGAUCU
This is a long non-coding RNA of Papaver somniferum (opium poppy), 1220 nucleotides long. RefSeq lists it as uncharacterized. The record is from RefSeq and is a predicted model, not a curated record. Lineage: Eukaryota; Viridiplantae; Streptophyta; Magnoliopsida; Ranunculales; Papaveraceae. The transcript is spliced from 4 exons.